GAUGAACGCUAGCGGGAGGCUUAAUACAUGCAAGUCGAACGGUAAGGCUCAGCUUGCUGAGUACACAAGUGGCGCACGGGUGAGUAACGCGUACGCAAUCUACCCUUAAGAGGGGGAUAGCCCUGGGAAACUGGGAGUAAUCCGCCAUAGUAUAUAGAUAAGGCAUCUUAUUUAUAUUAAAGCUUCGGUGCUUAAGGAUGAGCGUGCGUUUGAUUAGUUAGUUGGUGAGGUAACGGCUCACCAAGACGAUGAUCAAUAGGGGGCGUGAGAGCGUGAUCCCCCACACGGGUACUGAGACACGGACCCGACUCCUACGGGAGGCAGCAGUAAGGAAUAUUGGACAAUGGGCGGCAGCCUGAUCCAGCCAUCCCGCGUGCAGGAAGACGGCCCUCUGGGUUGUAAACUGCUUUUAUAUACCAAGAAACGCCCCCACGUGUGGGGGUUUGACGGUAGUAUAUGAAUAAGCACCGGCUAACUCCG
RNAcentral lists this ribosomal RNA (480 nucleotides) under uncultured Saprospiraceae bacterium. RNAcentral's name for it is "bacterial SSU rRNA". It matches the Rfam family "Bacterial small subunit ribosomal RNA", at positions 28 to 505 of the family's 1533-position model. The record is from RNAcentral. Lineage: Bacteria; Pseudomonadati; Bacteroidota; Saprospiria; Saprospirales; Saprospiraceae.